GCCUUCGUGGUGUAGUGGUCAGCACGCUCGGCGCGUAUUCGAGAGGUCCGUGGUUCGAGUCCCGGCAAGAGCA
Molecule: transfer RNA, 73 nt
Filed under: Stegodyphus mimosarum
Lineage: Eukaryota; Metazoa; Arthropoda; Arachnida; Araneae; Eresidae
Rfam family: tRNA
About the family: Transfer RNA (tRNA) molecules are approximately 80 nucleotides in length. Their secondary structure includes four short double-helical elements and three loops (D, anti-codon, and T loops).
Source: Rfam by way of RNAcentral